GAAAUGCGAUAAGUAAUGCGAAUUGCAGAAUUCAGCGAGUCAUCGAAUCUUUGAACGCACAUUGCGCCCCUUGGUAUUCCGAGGGGCACAUCUGUUCGAGCGUCAUUUCACCAGUCAAGCUCAUGCUUGGUGUUGGGCUCUCUCGUCCCCCACCUUUGGGGGGACGGGCCCGAAAGAACUCGGCGGCGUGGUCCUGCUCCGGGCGUAGCAGCAUAUCUUUCGCUCGUGGGGCUAGGGUCCAGCGCUUUAGCCGUUAAAAUAGCGGGAAAAGAGAGUAACGUCCCUUUUCCUCUACAACCAAGAGUUUGACCUCGGAUCAGAUGGGGACACCCGCUGAACUUAA
This 343-nucleotide unclassified non-coding RNA is filed under the name uncultured Ascomycota. RNAcentral describes it as "sequence contains ITS1". The stretch from base 1 to 105 matches the Rfam family "5.8S ribosomal RNA", at positions 50 to 154 of the family's 154-position model. The record is from RNAcentral. Lineage: Eukaryota; Fungi; Ascomycota.